RNAcentral lists this ribosomal RNA (498 nucleotides) under uncultured bacterium. RNAcentral's name for it is "partial 16S ribosomal RNA". It matches the Rfam family "Bacterial small subunit ribosomal RNA", at positions 28 to 507 of the family's 1533-position model. The record is from RNAcentral.
GACGAACGCUGGCGGCGUGCCUAAUACAUGCAAGUCGAACGAGAGCGACCGGUGCUUGCCCUGGUCAAUCUAGUGGCGCACGGGUGAGUAACACGUGGGUAACCUGCCCAUCAGAGGGGGAUAACAUCCGGAAACGGAUGCUAACACCGCAUAGGUCUUCGAACCGCAUGGUUUGUAGAGGCAAAGAGUCGCAAGCUUCUGCUGUUGGAUGUACCCGCGGUGCAUUAGCUAGUUGGUGAGGUAACGGCUCACCAAGGCCGUGAUGCAUAGCCGACCUGAGAGGGUGAUCGGCCACAUUGGGACUGAGACACGGCACAAACUCCUACGGGAGGCAGCAGUAGGGAAUCUUCCGCAAAGGACGCAAGUCUGACGGAGCAACGCCGCGUGAGUGAAGAAGGUUUUCGGAUCGUAAAACUCUGUUGUUAGAGAAGAACAAGUGCUAGAGUAACUGUUAGCGCCUUGACGGUAACUAACCAGAAAGCCACGGCUAACUACGUG